This 1477-nucleotide ribosomal RNA is filed under the name uncultured bacterium. RNAcentral describes it as "partial 16S ribosomal RNA". It matches the Rfam family "Bacterial small subunit ribosomal RNA". The record is from RNAcentral.
AUGGCUCAGGAUGAACGCAGCGGCAGGCUUAACACAUGCAAGUCGAGGGGCAUCGGGAGGAAAGCUUGCUUUCCUUGCCGGCGACCGGCGCACGGGUGAGUAACACGUAUGCAACCUGCCCUCUUCAGGGGGACAACCUUCCGAAAGGGAGGCUAAUCCCGCGUAUAUCGGUUUCGGGCAUCCGAGAUCGAGGAAAGAUUCAUCGGAAGAGGAUGGGCAUGCGGCGCAUUAGCUAGACGGCGGGGUAACGGCCCACCGUGGCGACGAUGCGUAGGGGUUCUGAGAGGAAGGUCCCCCACACUGGUACUGAGACACGGACCAGACUCCUACGGGAGGCAGCAGUGAGGAAUAUUGGUCAAUGGGAGAGAUCCUGAACCAGCCAAGCCGCGUGAGGGAAGACGGCCCUAUGGGUUGUAAACCUCUUUUGUCGGAGAACAAAACCCGGGACGUGUCCCGGACUGCGUGUAUCCGAAGAAAAAGCAUCGGCUAACUCCGUGCCAGCAGCCGCGGUAAUACGGAGGAUGCGAGCGUUAUCCGGAUUUAUUGGGUUUAAAGGGUGCGUAGGCGGUCCGUUAAGUCAGCGGUAAAAUUGCGGGGCUCAACCCCGUCGAGCCGUUGAAACUGGCAGACUUGAGUUGGCGAGAAGUACGCGGAAUGCGCGGUGUAGCGGUGAAAUGCAUAGAUAUCGCGCAGAACUCCGAUUGCGAAGGCAGCGUACCGGCGCCAGACUGACGCUGAGGCACGAAAGCGUGGGGAUCGAACAGGAUUAGAUACCCUGGUAGUCCACGCAGUAAACGAUGAAUGCUGGUUGUCCGGGUCGAAUGAGACCUGGGCGGCGAAGCGAAAGCGAUAAGCAUCCACCUGGGGAGUACGCCGGCAACGGUGAAACUCAAAGGAAUUGACGGGGGCCCGCACAAGCGGAGGAACAUGUGGUCUAAUUUGAUGAUACGCGAGGAACCUUAGCCUGGCUCAAACGGGAGUGGAAUGGACCAGAGACGGUUCAGCUCUACGGGCCGCUUCCGAGGUGCUGCAUGGUUGUCGUCAGCUCGUGCCGUGAGGUGUCGGCUUAAGUGCCAUAAUGAGCGCAACCCCCGCCGGCAGUUGCUAACGGGCAAUGCCGAGGACUCUGCCGGGACUGCCGCCGCAAGGCGUGAGGAAGGCGGGGAUGACGUCAAAUCAGCACGGCCCUUACGUCCGGGGCGACACACGUGUUACAAUGGGCGGUACAGCGGGAAGCCAGGCGGCGACGCCGAGCGGAACCCGAAAGCCGUUCUCAGUUCGGAUCGGAGUCUGCAACCCGACUCCGUGAAGCUGGAUUCGCUAGUAAUCGCGCAUCAGCCAUGGCGCGGUGAAUACGUUCCCGGGCCUUGUACACACCGCCCGUCAAGCCAUGGGAGCCGGGGGUGCUUGAAGUGCGUCGCCGCGAGGCGCGCCCUAGAGCAAAACUCGGUGACUGGGGCUAAGUCGUAACAAGGUA